CUGCCGAUCGAAAUAUUUGCUAAGAAUUAUUACAUUUUAUUAUCCUUAUUUUACUAAAAAUAGAUGUAGGGAAAGUAUAAUAUGAAUCGAUGACGUUUUCGAUAUUAAGUUUUAUUAAGAGACAACAAUGGGACAAUAAUUUCCACUGAAUCACCGUAAUGCCUUGAAAGCAACACACUUUAAGCGAAUAUCAGUGCAUUUUGGUUAAGCUUUGGACGCAGAAUAUGCUUAUGCUUCUGAAGGGAUUAAAUUACUUAAAAUAAAUCUUCAUACUUCUUGAACUUUACAAAAAAAUGAAGCAACUGUAUUUUACGAAUCUCUUUCUCAAAGUGUGUGUCACACUUUUCCUGUUACUUCUACUAUUACAAGAAAUCGAUGCUCUUGCCUGUUAUUCUUGUGCAUUUCCCGUGUUCCACGCAUGGUGUUGUAUGGUUUUUCGAACUUGUUGUCCAAAAGAGGAUGUAGUAAAUGUAUAUGCUCUUUAUUCAGACAAAACUUCUGCUGCAACAACUCUUGCCCCUGAAGCGACUACAUAACAUUUAUAGCAUGAUUUAACAAACUUUGUUUUAAUUUUAUGUGGUUUUACACUGAUGAUCAAAUAAUAAUAAAUAAAUAAAAACAUUUUUGUACAAAUUUUUAUUUACGUUCCGUGAUAUAGCUUGUUAAAUUGUUAUAUUAUAGCUUGUUAUAUUGCAAUAAAACAAGUUUGAUGAUUAAUGAAUGUUGUCUUAAAUUUAUGUAAAUUAUGUGUUAAUCUGAUUGUAGAUGUAGUUAUUUUGUGAAAAAAUAUAAGUAUAUGUGUAA
This is a long non-coding RNA of Parasteatoda tepidariorum (common house spider), 804 nucleotides long. RefSeq lists it as uncharacterized. NCBI's taxonomy places the organism in Eukaryota, Metazoa, Arthropoda, Arachnida, Araneae, Theridiidae. The record is from RefSeq and is a predicted model, not a curated record.